UGCACGAAUGGCAUAAUGAUGGGGGCGCUGUCUCCAGCAGAGACUCAGUGAAAUCGAAUUCGCCGUGAAGAUGCGGUGUACCCGCGGCUAGACGGAAAGACCCCGUGAACCUUUACUGCAGCUUGACAUUGAACUUUGAUCUUACUUGUGUAGGAUAGGUGGGAGGCUUUGAAGUCGCGACGCUAGUUGCGAUGGAGCCGUCCUUGAAAUACCACCCUGGUAAUAUUGAGGUUCUAACUCUGUCCCGUUAUCCGGGACGAGGACCAUGUCUGGUGGGUAGUUUGACUGGGGCGGUCUCCUCCUAAAGAGUAACGGAGGAGUACGAAGGUGCGCUCAGCGUGGUCGGAAAUCACGCGUAGAGUAUAAAGGCAAAAGCGCGCUUAACUGCGAGACCCACAAGUCGAGCAGGUACGAAAGUAGGUCUUAGUGAUCCGGUGGUUCUGUAUGGAAGGGCCAUCGCUCAACGGAUAAAAGGUACUCUGGGGAUAACAGGCUGAUACCGCCCAAGAGUUCAUAUCGACGGCGGUGUUUGGCACCUCGAUGUCGGCUCAUCUCAUCCUGGGGCUGAAGCAGGUCCCAAGGGUAUGGCUGUUCGCCAUUUAAAGAGGUACGCGAGCUGGGUUUAGAACGUCGUGAGACAGUUCGGUCCCUAUCUACCGUGGGCGUUGGAAAUUUGAGAGGAUCUGCUCCUAGUACGAGAGGACCAGAGUGGACGAACCUCUGGUGUACCGGUUGUCACGCCAGUGGCAUCGCCGGGUAGCUAUGUUCGGAAGGGAUAACCGCUGAAAGCAUCUAAGCGGGAAGCCUACCUCAAGAUAAGAUUUCCCCGAGACUUUAUGUCUCCUAAAGAGCCGUUGAAGACUACGACGUUGAUAGGUUGGAUGUGGAAGCAUAGUGAUAUGUGAAGCUGACCAAUACUAAUUGCUCGUGAGGCUUGACUAUACAACACCCAAGCAGUUG
Molecule: ribosomal RNA, 960 nt
Filed under: Acinetobacter sp. RIT592
Lineage: Bacteria; Pseudomonadati; Pseudomonadota; Gammaproteobacteria; Moraxellales; Moraxellaceae
Description: bacterial LSU rRNA
Rfam family: Bacterial large subunit ribosomal RNA
Source: RNAcentral